Non-coding RNA from Meleagris gallopavo (turkey), 2326 nucleotides. NCBI's taxonomy places the organism in Eukaryota, Metazoa, Chordata, Aves, Galliformes, Phasianidae. The record is from RefSeq and is a predicted model, not a curated record.
UAAAGUCAGAAUGCAUUUCCAAGAAUUCCUUUAAAAGCUGGUUGUUAUCUUCACAAGAACACAGACAAUUGAAGUCAUUUUUAAAUGGGCUCUACAUUCAUGGUAGUAUCUGACAACCAGUUCAGUCAAGCUGACUACUUUCUACUUCUUUGUUGCUCUUGCUUUUUGUUUGUUUGCUCUUAAAGAUAAAAAAAAAAAAAAAAAAAAAUCACAGAAGCACCAUCUCGUAUAGAAUACAGAACUACACAACAGUGAACAGUGCCCUCUUGUGAUCUUUUCUAAGAACUUAGCUGAUUAUUAAAAAGGUCUGGCAACAUUUCAGUAAGAGAACUGGUCAUAUUUGUUUCUUUUCUUUUCUACGUAUACAUUUUUGCAUAUAAAACAAUAAGAUAUUAUCUUACAAAAGACUAUGGCAUAUGUGCUAUUAGUAGCACUCCGGAUGCCUCCUCUGCCAGCUCAAUCUAGAUAGACUUCACGUGGAAUUCAUGUUGUGGAGAUGCAAUGAAUCCUAUGCAGCAUACUGUUGGCAAAACACUACCUACACGAUGGUGCACAAUGCCAGAACCUAGAAAGAAACUAAGAACAGGUGAACAGCUGAGGACAAUGAAAUUUGUGUGACUCUGCACUGCUUACCAUCGAGCAAACAAUCCAGAGGGCUGCUGCGAGCACAAGAGGGCAGACCAGCGCACAUCAUGGAUCUUGCUACCAACAGAGGUCUCAACUUGCUGCUCAAUUUCCUGCUCAUAGUCUUGGUUUUAGUGCUCGCGUUCAUCCUUGUGAAGCUGAUGUGAAUCCCUGGGAGGUUUCUUUUCAAAUCUUGUUCUGAGGGCUUGGGUAUCUUUUGCAAUGAUAACGUAAGGAGGUCUAUCUAACCAGAAAUAUGCCAAGACUGCAUAGAUUGAAGUACCUGACAGAGAAAGUGUUCAGAGGGUUUUAUCAGAAGUGAACCUAAAAGCUACACAAAAUUAUGUCGUGCCACUGAGUAAGGAAAGCACUGAGAGCCUUGUUGAGUACAGAAAGAAAUCUAAGUACACAUAAACAGUUACUUUAGUUUUAUAAAUGCUGCAGUCAACUUUCAUUUUGAAGACCGGCAAAAGAUCAGCAUCAUUCAAAAAACAAUUUCAGAUUACCCGUAGAGUGAAAAAGCACAGAUGCGGGGGAUGGAAGAGGAAUAUCUAUGAACUAUGGUUUGCAGCAACUGAGAUGUGAACAGGUCAAAUUUAAAUCUGAAAAUGUAAUUUUUAGGGACACUGUUUUUGACACCUGUGGUUCACAGCAACACCUUAAAAGCCAGAAAGCAUUCAUGUUACACAUCAGUAACAGAAGCUGCAACUGUUAGAUCUAAAACAAACAAAACAGAAAUCAAACCCAAACAAGGGUCAGUGGCAAGCAAGGGUUAUCAUAUCCAUGAAUCCUUUAGCAUUGCUGCAUAUGUGAGCUGUCAGAGCCUCUGCAUAACAGCAAGAAGAGUGUUGCAUCCUCAACAAGUGCACCACUUAUGCACAGGUCAAGAGCACUGCCUGGAGCCCUCGAGCUGUUUGACAUGCCACUUGUUAUAUGCAUGCCACAGCAGCAUCCUCACAUCAAGCCUGCAGUGAAAGCUUCCCAUGGGACCUACCCCUACAACCCUUCACAGGAUGACCUGCUUUCUCCAUGCUUGCCAGGAAAGGCAGUGAACAAGGAGAGCUCCUUUCUACUAGGAUCAUUUGCCUACCAGGCAACCCUAAAAUACACAGGGAGAGAAGGAGGCCACAAGUAGACUACAAACACCACACUGAGGCCAAGAAGUCCGCUCUUUAGCAUCUCUCUCUUCCCCCAACAAGUUGAGAACCAAAUGUAACAACAUACACGUAUCAUGUUGUAAAUUUAAUGCUAUACACAUGCAUGCACAUGGGACUGCUGGUAGGCAGGAUGCUGGUGGUGCCCAGAGGUGAGGAAAACCCAAAUUCCAGCUCCGUUAUGACAGAAGAAUUCCCUGGUCCAGCAGGUACGCUUUUGAUACCACAGGUGCCCCCAACAUUACAGAGGUGAUCUACUCCAGCUCCACAUAGGAUUGCCACACUAUUACUGCUGUUGUGGCUGGUUCAAUCAUCCAGUACAGAAGAGACUGUACUACAAAAAGAUCUACAAAAAGACUUAGCACAGAAGGAAGACAAUAUGCCAACAGAAACGAUGUUAGUGCAGGCCCACCAUGACCAGGCACCCAUGUUUCACAUCACAUUAUCUCCUUCAGCACGAGAUACCACUAUGUGGGACAGCACUAAUAGAGAAGUCAAAUGAAAGAUUUCUCUUGUGCUUUGAAAUGCAAUAAAAAUUUAAAAUAGCU